GAUGAACGCUAGCGGCAGGCUUAACACAUGCAAGUCGAGGGGCAGCACGAGGUAGCAAUACUUUGGUGGCGACCGGCGCACGGGUGCGUAACACGUAUGCAAUCUACCUUAUACUGGGACAUAACAGCGAGAAAUUGUUGCUAAUUUCCCAUAACACUGCGAAGUGGCAUCACUUUGCAUUUAAAGCUCCGGCGGUAUAAGAUGAGCAUGCGUCCAAUUAGCUAGUUGGUGAGGUAAUGGCUCACGAAGGCUACGAAUGGUAGGGGUUCUGAGAGGAUGAUCGCCCACACUGGUACUGGGACACGGACCAGACUCCUACGGGAGGCAGCAGUGAGGAAUAUUGCGCAAUGGAGGCAACUCUGACGCAGCCAUGCCGCGUGAAGGAUGAAGGUCCUAUGGAUUGUAAACUUCUUUUGUACAGGAAUAAAAACUUCUACGUGUAGGAGCUUGAAGGUACCGUAAGAAUAAGCACCGGCUAACUCCGUGCCAGCCGCCGCGGUAA
RNAcentral lists this ribosomal RNA (502 nucleotides) under uncultured bacterium. RNAcentral's name for it is "partial 16S ribosomal RNA". It matches the Rfam family "Bacterial small subunit ribosomal RNA", at positions 28 to 523 of the family's 1533-position model. The record is from RNAcentral.